AUGAAGAGUUUGAUCCUGGCUCAGGACGAACGCUGGCGGCGUGGAUUAGGCAUGCAAGUCGAACGCGAAAGUAUUUCUUCGGAGAUACGAGUAGAGUGGCGGACGGGUGAGUAACGCGUAGGUAUCUACCUUUAAGUGGGGGACAGCCCCGGGAAACCGGGAUUAAUACCGCAUGUGGAACUUCGGUUCUAAAGAUGGCCUCUGUUUCAAGCUAUCGCUUAGAGAUGAGCCUGCGUCCUAUUAGCUAGUUGGUAAGGUAAUGGCUUACCAAGGCGAUGAUAGGUAGGCGGCUUUAACGAGUGGUCGCCCACACUGGGAUUGAGAUACGGCCCAGACUCCUACGGGAGGCAGCAGUCGAGAAUAGUCUACAAUGGGGGAAACCCUGAUAGUGCGACGCCGCGUGGAUGAAGAAGCAUUUCGGUGUGUAAAAUCCUUUUCUUUGUGAGCAAUGUUUGUAAAAUUAAUAGUUUUACGAAAGAGAUAUUAGCAAAGGAAUAAGCUCCGGCUAACUCCGUGCCAGCAGCCGCGGUAACACGGGGGGAGCAAGCGUUGUCCGGAAUUACUAGGCGUAAAGGGCAAGUAGGCGGAAGUAUCAGUCAGAUGUUAAAGGCACGGGCUCAACCGGUGUAUGGCAUUUGAUACUGUAUUUCUAGAGUAAGGUAGGGGAAGACGGAAUUCCCGGUGUAGCGGUGGAAUGCGCAGAUAUCGGGAGGAACACCGGAGGCGAAGGCGGUCUUCUAUGCCAUUACUGACGCUGAAUUGCGAAGGUGUGGGUAUCCAACAGGAUUAGAUACCCUGGUAGUCCACACAGUAAACGAUGUGCACCAGAUGUUGGGGGAGAUAAUCUUUCAGUGUCGCAGUUAACGCGUUAAGUGCAUCGCCUGGGGAGUACGGUCGCAAGAUUAAAACUCA
This 912-nucleotide ribosomal RNA is filed under the name Candidatus Cloacimonadota bacterium. RNAcentral describes it as "bacterial SSU rRNA". It matches the Rfam family "Bacterial small subunit ribosomal RNA", at positions 1 to 903 of the family's 1533-position model. Lineage: Bacteria; Pseudomonadati; Candidatus Cloacimonadota. The record is from RNAcentral.